RNAcentral lists this ribosomal RNA (342 nucleotides) under Perforatus perforatus. Its description in RNAcentral is "partial 12S ribosomal RNA". The record is from RNAcentral. Lineage: Eukaryota; Metazoa; Arthropoda; Thecostraca; Balanomorpha; Balanidae.
UGUUACUUAUAAGUAAUAAAUUUUGGAAUAGUAAUAAUAAAUGAAAUUUAACGGAUUUGGCGGCAAGAUAGCCAUUUAGAGGAACCUGCCCUAUAAACGAUGAACCACGAAUUUACUCUACUUUUGUUUGAAAUCAGUUUGUAUACCGCUGUUGUCAGUUAGUUUCUUUAGAAAACUUUCGUACAUGGGAAAGUCAUGGACUUCAAGUAAAGGUGCAGCUUAUACAAAAGAUAGAGGUGGGUUACAUUUAUAAGAAUAAAACGGAUAAAGUGAUUGAAACAACUUUUGAAGGUGGAUUUAAUUGUAAAGUUUAAUAAAACUUGAUGAGAGCUCUGUCUUGUG